UACGUAGGAGGCAAGCGUUAUCCGGAAUGACUGGGCGUAAAGGGUGCGUAGGUGGUUCAGCAAGUUAGUAGCGUAACUCCGGGGCUCAACCUCGGCACUACUACUAAAACUGUUGGACUUGAGUGCAGGAGGGGCAACUGGAAUUCCUAGUGUAGCGGUGGAAUGCGUAGAUAUUAGGAGGAACACCAGUGGCGAAGGCGACUUUCUGGACAGUAACUGACGUUGAGGCACGAAAGUGUGGGUAUCAAACAGG
Molecule: ribosomal RNA, 253 nt
Filed under: uncultured Eubacteriales bacterium
Lineage: Bacteria; Bacillati; Bacillota; Clostridia; Eubacteriales
Description: uncultured Clostridiales bacterium partial 16S ribosomal RNA
Rfam family: Bacterial small subunit ribosomal RNA
Source: RNAcentral